UCCCUGGCAGUCUAGUUGUUAGGACUCCACAUUUUCACUGCUAAGGGCCUAGGUUUGAUUCCUGGCCAGGGAA
RNAcentral lists this transfer RNA (73 nucleotides) under Bos taurus (domestic cattle). It matches the Rfam family "tRNA". Rfam says of the family: Transfer RNA (tRNA) molecules are approximately 80 nucleotides in length. Their secondary structure includes four short double-helical elements and three loops (D, anti-codon, and T loops). The record is from Rfam by way of RNAcentral. Lineage: Eukaryota; Metazoa; Chordata; Mammalia; Artiodactyla; Bovidae. RNAcentral also lists the same sequence under 1 other name.